AAUUAAUGAGCUUGAAAAGCAUAUAUUUUGAAAAUAUAAGAAAGAAAUAAUAUUUCUAUUAAUUU
This 65-nucleotide transfer RNA is filed under the name Oenopia formosana. RNAcentral describes it as "tRNA-Ser". RNAcentral also lists the same sequence under 1 other name. The record is from RNAcentral. Lineage: Eukaryota; Metazoa; Arthropoda; Insecta; Coleoptera; Coccinellidae.